CCCCUCGUCGUUCAAUGGACAGGACAUGAGAUUGCGGAUCUCAAAACAGAGGUUCGAUUCCUCUCGGGGGGA
This 72-nucleotide transfer RNA is filed under the name bacterium. Its description in RNAcentral is "tRNA-Arg". It matches the Rfam family "tRNA". From Rfam's summary of the family: Transfer RNA (tRNA) molecules are approximately 80 nucleotides in length. Their secondary structure includes four short double-helical elements and three loops (D, anti-codon, and T loops). The record is from RNAcentral. RNAcentral also lists the same sequence under 1 other name.